GCGGACGGGUGAGUAAUGCUUAGGAAUCUGCCUAUUAGUGGGGGACAACAUUCCGAAAGGAAUGCUAAUACCGCAUACGCCCUACGGGGGAAAGCAGGGGAUCUUCGGACCUUGCGCUAAUAGAUGAGCCUAAGUCAGAUUAGCUAGUUGGUGGGGUAAAGGCCUACCAAGGCGACGAUCUGUAGCGGGUCUGAGAGGAUGAUCCGCCACACUGGGACUGAGACACGGCCCAGACUCCUACGGGAGGCAGCAGUGGGGAAUAUUGGACAAUGGGCGCAAGCCUGAUCCAGCCAUGCCGCGUGUGUGAAGAAGGCCUUUUGGUUGUAAAGCACUUUAAGCGAGGAGGAGGCUACUUGGAUUAAUACUCUAGGAUAGUGGACGUUACUCGCAGAAUAAGCACCGGCUAACUCUGUGCCAGCAGCCGCGGUAAUACAGAGGGUGCGAGCGUUAAUCGGAUUUACUGGGCGUAAAGCGUGCGUAGGCGGCUUUUUAAGUCGGAUGUGAAAUCCCUGAGCUUAACUUAGGAAUUGCAUUCGAUACUGGGAAGCUAGAGUAUGGGAGAGGAUGGUAGAAUUCCAGGUGUAGCGGUGAAAUGCGUAGAGAUCUGGAGGAAUACCGAUGGCGAAGGCAGCCAUCUGGCCUAAUACUGACGCUGAGGU
Molecule: ribosomal RNA, 659 nt
Filed under: Acinetobacter sp. EECC-440
Lineage: Bacteria; Pseudomonadati; Pseudomonadota; Gammaproteobacteria; Moraxellales; Moraxellaceae
Description: bacterial SSU rRNA
Rfam family: Bacterial small subunit ribosomal RNA
Source: RNAcentral